AUGCUCUUAGUGGAUAGGGAUAAAUUGAUUUCCAUUUGAAUUUAAAAUUUGAUUUGAAUUCAAAUGUGCAAUUACUCAUCUUUAUCCUCUCACGUGGAUAAGAUGUUUGACGUUGUUUUAAAAGGCGGAAAAGAGUGGGGUGUGUGCAAAAAAAUUUUUGAAGAGAAAUCUAGGCAUGAGGAAUCCUUGUGUGCAAGGUGAAGGUCUAUAUCCUUCCAAAAGAAAAAGAAAGAAAAGAAAGAAAAAGUGUGUGCAGGGUUUCAGUGAGUUC
Molecule: long non-coding RNA, 271 nt
Filed under: Elaeis guineensis (African oil palm)
Lineage: Eukaryota; Viridiplantae; Streptophyta; Magnoliopsida; Arecales; Arecaceae
Description: long non-coding RNA (EGUI_LNC070391)
Source: RNAcentral